This 53-nucleotide non-coding RNA is filed under the name unclassified sequences. The record is from Rfam.
CCCUGACAGCCUCAUGGUGAGGCUGACAUUAGCCACGACAGGAGAAUUAAAUG